GCCUCUCACGCCGCACAACGCCCUCCUCGGCUCCGCUCCGCGCCUCGGGCCCGCCCGCGCGCCGCCUCGCUCCGCUCGCACACAAAGAGAGGGAGCGGCGGGCGCGCCCUCGUUCCUCUCAGCGUGAGGGAAGAGUGGGGCUGGGGGGGGGGGCGAGGGCAGCGCCGGGACAUACCACGCCGCGCGGGUUGCGGGUGAUACCAUGUCGGUGGGACCGGCGGCCGUUAGCGCGGGGCGUGGCGGCCCGGGGCCGCGAAGGCGUCGAGACGAGGGGCGGCGGGGAGCGGUCCGGGCCCGGCCCGCCGCACCCUCACCGAAGAACGCAGCCGAGGCGCCGUCCGGGCCGCCCCCGGGGAAGGGCCGCGCGGGAUUUUCAAAGCCCGGCGCAGCGGCCGCGGUGCGGUGAGGCCGCUCCCGACUGAGGGCGUCCCGGCGCGGAAAGCCGGAAGUAAUGGGAACGCCGCAUCGACUGACUUUUCUCCCCUCUUUUUCAAAUCCACGCCGUUUUAACAGAAAACCCCCUAACGAGCACGUGGCGCUGGGCCACGCUCCCGCGGCUGCUCCGCGCUCACGGAGCUCCCCGGUGCCGAGCGAAAGCCCGGCGGGCAGCGGCGUGUCCGGCACAGCUCUGCGGGGCCGCCGGGAGCCACGGAGCGCCUCUGCCAGCGGGACUGCGCGUGCCCAACUGCGUUAGUCCGAAUUACAGCACGGGCUGUGAGCCAUCCCACGGGGUGCGCGGUUCUGGUUACGGGCCAGAUGCUGCUUCCACGUAGCAGCAUACAAAUCACACACAACAAUCGAGAGCACCAAAAGAAACCAACAGAAUGCCUGGAAUCAGGAACUGACGCCAAGCAUUAAGAAGAAAUUCAACCAGAUUCUGUAUUCUUACCCCGUGGGAAUCUCCAAAAUUUGAUGGUUUCUCAUUCCAAUAACUGAGUUUCCAGCAGAACAAGAACUUGAGCAGAGCCGAAGUGACAUUUCAUCUGGUAGUUAGCAGAUCAGUGGUGAAAUGUAGACAUUCUUACAGACAUCCACACUGUUUUUUUUUUCUAGCACAAAGCAAAGGGGGUAUGAAACUCUUGAGACUUGCUUCUGUGUUUGCAAAUGCUGUUGGGACAACAGUGUUCAGCAAGACCCGUCUCUAGUAGCCUCAGGUACACCCCAAAGCACCGCUUUAAGUAACGUUCUACAAGAAUAGUUUCAAUCCGAGAGCAACAAAUGUUUCUUGUGUUGAGAAUAUGUAGUUCUUACCUAGAACAAAGCAGCUGCGACCUCCCCCCCACAUGUCCUGACAGCUCACCGUGGGGCUUCUGCACCGUUCCCAAUGCGCAGAGCUGUAAGAGAACACAAAGGAAACCUCCUUACACAAAACAAAGUAAAUAUAGGGUUGCUCUGCAGUUUGAACACUGGGCAAAGACCGUUCUGUGCACUGCUUCGGGAGCCUGCCAGCACGUAGGAGGCAGUUCAAAGGAAAACAAAGGCAGAUCUCAGGAACAACAUAAUAACAGAGCCCAGCUCCAACCUGCGCCCAGGAAAGUGAGAGGCCUUUGCACAGCAUGCGUAAGUGAGGCUGCAGCAGGAAGAUACUCUUCCAUUUCAGAUUCCCCCGUGCUUCAGGAAGAUGGGAUUACAGAGCAUAAACAUAAAUUUAAGUGCAUCAGAGAUAACUUCAUAAGGAAGAAAAAAAAAAGUCUCAUUCUACCUAGGAUAACAUAUGUAGGUUAUUUGGGCUAGCCAUGCUGGCUAGAAGGGACAACAUUAUCAGGAUGGACUGGUUUCUAGUCAGGAAAGGCUGAACUGUACUCUAGGUGAACUGAUAUGAAGGAAAUACUAGAGCUAUUUACAGAAACAAUGACUAACAAGAUCAGAAGAAUUCAAGAUAAGUACAUCUGGAAUUUGAGCAAGAAAUCUGGGAAGGUGAAGUAGUUGGGGAUUUCACCAUAGCUAAAACUGCAAUAAAACCCAGGAAGAGCGUCUUAGAGAUUCCAUCUGUGGAGGUAAAACAAUGCCCACCCAGUGUGUUACUUCUCAGAAAUCCUGUGAAUUAAUACCCUGAAUAAUAUUCUGGCCACAGAACCACAAACGGUAAAUGAAGGUUGAUGGAACAGCACUGAAACCUGCAUUGAGCACUACUGGUCUGCCAGCAUGUUACUAAUGAUUUCUGCAAGCUAAAGUUACUUCACAUCACAGCUCCAAAGCACGUUGGAGAAAAGAUUGGAAGAAUCUCUCGAGUCCCAAGUCUACAGAACCUCCUACACCCUUCAGGUAAAAUAGCAGCAGUUGUUUUCCUCACCUUACAAGCCCCAUUCCUCCGGCAUCCAAACCUUCAGAGCCACUUGGCACACUGGCAAACCCAUGAAAAAGAAGAAAAAAAGCAGCAGCAGGAGUGUGAAGAAAAGAUGAUGUAGAAUUCUGCAAAUGCCAGUUUGAGAGUAUACCAGGUUUCUCAAGCAUAGUAAGCUGAUGUUCACGUGACAAAGAGGCAGGGGGUCUUAAUAAGAGCCAUCACACUGAACACUUUUUGAGCAGAAAAAUCCCUCAGUGCAUUUUUCAGCUUGAUAACUGGAGUGCUGGUGAUGUAGUUUAAUUGGAUUUACAGGAAUUUAGCAAAUAAAGUUCAUUACUAUUGUCUAUUUUACCAACUUCCAAAGCAACAAAGCACAUGCUGUCACACUGCCUGCAUGUUUCUGAGCGUCUCCUACUCUGCGAGGACUUCUGAAAACUGGCCAGCUGGUUCAACCAGAUUUGACACUGGCUAAGAGUUUCCAACCAUAAUUAUGCUCCGACUAGUUUUGUAAAAACAGGCAGCCAGAGAGAGGCAGAAGAGAGACCUGGUAAGAUGAGUCAAGGGAAAAGUAAGAGAUCACCCCUUACCAGCCACUGGAGAAUCCUGCACAAGCCACACAGGAGGAAAACCAGAUGAAUGUAUCGGUCAUAAGAAAAGCCUCACUUCGAAGUUGCACCUUUUUAAAAGUGGAAGACAGUCAACCAAGAGACACACAUUGGGAGGAUAACUGGCAUCUUUGAUUCUGGACUUCACAGCACAGUUUCUUAUUCAGAAGCAUAAGUUUCUGUCUGGCCAAGCAGUUUUUAUACAAAACGCAAAGUGUUUCUGUAAAAUCUCUUAUCUUAAUAAUAAUCAAGAAAGCUGUGAGAAUCACAUGAAAUAAAUCCUGCUCACAGAGUUACGUGCAUCUAAAAAAGAAUAAAGAACCUCUAUGUUGUUUCAUAGUAUGACUAGAAACUCGCUCUGUUAAAAUGCCUACCCAGAAGACAUACAUUCUUAUGUACAUAUUAAAAAGCACUUAAAAAUGUAUUUCUGAGUUAUGAGACAACUUUGUACCCUUUGACAGGCAGUCCUUACAAAGUAUCUUCAUUUUAACUUUCAUAUAUCCCAGUCUGUCUAAAAAACAAUUUCUGCAUACAUGUGACUAUGUUUAGAUUAUAAUUUAGAGCCAAACCAAUGUAGUUUGAAAGCCAACUAGAAACUUUAUAACUGCUUAGUUUUUAAAUUGAUCUAGCAGUUAUGUCAGGAGGUGAAAAAGGAAGAAGCACAAUCUCACAGAUAAGUAUAAGUAACUCAAAGAAACAAUUUAAUUUCAAAUAAAUAAGGCAGUACUCUGAAAUUCUGUCAGAACUCCUUGACAUUUCCUAGGCUUAAAAUAUUUAAAAA
Long non-coding RNA from Gallus gallus (chicken), 3673 nucleotides. RefSeq lists it as uncharacterized. The transcript has 2 exons. The record is from RefSeq and is a predicted model, not a curated record. Lineage: Eukaryota; Metazoa; Chordata; Aves; Galliformes; Phasianidae.